This 397-nucleotide ribosomal RNA is filed under the name uncultured Lactobacillus sp. RNAcentral's name for it is "bacterial SSU rRNA". It matches the Rfam family "Bacterial small subunit ribosomal RNA", at positions 505 to 902 of the family's 1533-position model. The record is from RNAcentral. Lineage: Bacteria; Bacillati; Bacillota; Bacilli; Lactobacillales; Lactobacillaceae.
GUGCCGGCAGCCGCGGUAAUACGUAGGUGGCAAGCGUUGUCCGGAUUUAUUGGGCGUAAAGGGAACGCAGGCGGUCUUUUAAGUCUGAUGUGAAAGCCUUCGGCUUAACCGAAGUCGUGCAUUGGAAACUGGGAGACUUGAGUGCAGAAGAGGAGAGUGGAACUCCAUGUGUAGCGGUGAAAUGCGUAGAUAUAUGGAAGAACACCAGAGGCGAAGGCGGCUCUCUGGACUGUAACUGACGCUGAGGCUCGAAAGUGUGGGUAGCAAACAGGAUUAGAUACCCUGGUAGUCCACACCGUAAACGAUGAAUGCUAGUUGUUAGAGGUUUCCGCCUUUAGUGACGUCAGCUAACGCAUUAAGCAUUCCGCCUGGGGAUACGACCGCAAGGUUGAAACUC